Molecule: long non-coding RNA, 214 nt
Filed under: Piliocolobus tephrosceles (Ugandan red Colobus)
Lineage: Eukaryota; Metazoa; Chordata; Mammalia; Primates; Cercopithecidae
Description: lncRNA (ENSPTEG00000021599.1)
Source: RNAcentral
AUUCUGAAAACAAAGCAAUGAUGGUGAAGAAGGUACUGUGUAAGUUACAUCCUGUGUGAGUCUCUUUCAGAAGAAUUCCAUCUCUACUGCUUUUGGAGGGUAAAUUCCAAAUGAACACCGUUUUGGAAGUUUCCUGUUGAUGAUAAUCGAUGACCCGUUACCUGUUGAAGCAGUUCCAGGACUUACUGGGGAUGGUCAACAUUGUAUAAUUGCA